CUUCAUUGCAAGGACAGGUACAGAGACUUGCGGCCACCUGAAAAAGAAGCAUUUCUACUUCGUCUGUCACCGGUCUGGAAGUUAUGCUUCACAAGCUACAAGUAAACAAAAGCUGAAGCGGCCUUCAAGUGUCAAGUGUGGAAAAAGAUGUUUUGCGGCAAUGGCUGUGACUGAAGACAACACAGGUGUGUAUGUGGUUUUCCAAUUCAAGCACAGAGGCCACGACUUUGAACUGGGUCGUGUUUUUCUGUCCAAGUCGGAAAGAGCUGCUAUUGCUGACAAGCUGCGAGAAGGCGUGUCCAUGGAUGCAGUACUGGAUAAUGUGCGGUCCAACGUGGAUGAGACAUUCCACCGCAUUAACCUGUUAAGCAAGCAGGAUCUCCGCAAAAUAAUGAGGGAUGCCAGAGUCUCGAAGACCGAGCGGCUGCACGAUAAUGACUAUGUGAGCAUGCAACUCUGGGUUGAGA
This 467-nucleotide long non-coding RNA is filed under the name Dermacentor andersoni. Its description in RNAcentral is "uncharacterized LOC126536931". The record is from RNAcentral. Lineage: Eukaryota; Metazoa; Arthropoda; Arachnida; Ixodida; Ixodidae.